RNAcentral lists this ribosomal RNA (507 nucleotides) under uncultured archaeon. RNAcentral describes it as "bacterial SSU rRNA". It matches the Rfam family "Archaeal small subunit ribosomal RNA", at positions 29 to 541 of the family's 1478-position model. The record is from RNAcentral.
GCUAUCGAGGUUCGACUAAGCCAUGCGAGUCGAAUGUAGCAAUACAUGGCGUACUGCUCAGUAACACGUGGACAACCUACCCUUGAGUCGGGGAUAAACCCGGGAAACUGGGUAUAAUACCCGAUAGUCCUCGGGUGCUGGAAUGCAUCGAGAACGAAAGCUCCGACGCUCAAGGAUGGGUCUGCGGCCUAUCAGGUAGUAGUGGGUGUAGCGUACCUACUAGCCUACGACGGGUACGGGUUGUGAGAGCAAGAGCCCGGAGAUGGAUUCUGAGACACGAAUCCAGGCCCUACGGGGUGCAGCAGGCGCGAAAACUUUACAAUGCUGGAAACAGCGAUAAGGGGACCUCGAGUGCCAGGUUACAAAUCUGGCUGUCGUGAUGCCUAAAAAGCAUUGCAUAGCAAGGGCCGGGCAAGACCGGUGCCAGCCGCCGCGGUAACACCGGCGGCUCGAGUGGUAACCGUUAUUAUUGGGUCUAAAGGGUCUGUAGCCGGCCGGAUAAGUCUC